GUGAAUCAUCGAAUCUUUGAACGCACAUUGCGCUCCUGGGUAUUCCUGGGAGCACGCCUGUUUGAGAAUCGAUAAAACUCUCUCAACCUAACUUUGGGGGUAAAUGCUCUCUCAAGGUGAAUGUUGAUGGAUGUGGGUCUUAUUUGAACUGUUUGUUUCUCAGGAGACAUCCGGAACAAUGACCUUAAAUCGAAUGUCCACAGCCGUUCUUUGCAACAAAGAAUUAAAAAUCCGGCCUGGGUGCUAGAAUGGUUUUAACAUCAUGCUUUCGCUCUAGUGUUGGGAUCUUUGGGGCUCAAA
This 300-nucleotide unclassified non-coding RNA is filed under the name uncultured fungus. RNAcentral describes it as "sequence contains 5.8S rRNA gene, ITS2". The stretch from base 1 to 71 matches the Rfam family "5.8S ribosomal RNA", at positions 84 to 154 of the family's 154-position model. The record is from RNAcentral. Lineage: Eukaryota; Fungi.